This 496-nucleotide ribosomal RNA is filed under the name uncultured bacterium. RNAcentral's name for it is "partial 16S ribosomal RNA". It matches the Rfam family "Bacterial small subunit ribosomal RNA", at positions 29 to 507 of the family's 1533-position model. The record is from RNAcentral.
AUGCACGCUGGCGGCGUGCCUAAUCCCUGCCAGUCGAGCGAACAGACGAGGAGCUUGCUCCUCUGACGUUAGCGGCGGACGGGUGAGUAACACGUGGAUAACCUACCUAUAAGACUGGGAUAACUUCGGGAAACCGGAGCUAAUACCGGAUAAUAUAUUGAACCGCAUGGUUCAAUAGUGAAAGACGGUUUUGCUGUCACUUAUAGAUGGAUCCGCGCCGCAUUAGCUAGUUGGUAAGGUAACGGCUUACCAAGGCAACGAUGCGUAGCCGACCUGAGAGGGGGAUCGGCCACACGGGAACUGAGACAGGGUCCAGACUCCUACGGGAGGCAGCAGUAGGGAAUCUUCCGCAAUGGGCGAAAGCCUGACGGAGCAACGCCGCGUGAGUGAUGAAGGUCUUCGGAGCGUAAAACUCUGUUAUUAGGGAAGAACAAAUGUGUAAGUAACUAUGCACGUCUUGACGGUACCUAAUCAGAAAGCCACGGCUAACUACGUG